RNAcentral lists this unclassified non-coding RNA (756 nucleotides) under Hevea brasiliensis (rubber tree). Lineage: Eukaryota; Viridiplantae; Streptophyta; Magnoliopsida; Malpighiales; Euphorbiaceae. The record is from RNAcentral.
AAGCACAGUAUAAUGUCAUUGCGCCAAUUUAUUCAAUAGAUUAACAUAACAUAGCAGAAACCUUUACAUGUACUAGCAGCUUGUCGAAAAAAAAGCAUGCAUAUAUGAGUUUUGCACAGCCCAUAUUGUAACUUGACAUGUCGCUAAACUACAUUAGUUCUCAGUUAUCUCACCACAAUCAUCGAUUAAGACAGGGCAUGAUGUUUUCCCACUAUCUGAACCAACCUUUUCCAUUGCCUCGACAACAUUAUAGCCAUCAACAACCUUCCCAAACACGACGUGUUUACCAUCAAGCCAAGGUGUUGCUACUGUGGUGAUAAAGAAUUGAGAUCCAUUGGUGUUUCGUCCAGAAUUUGCCAUUGAAAGAAGGCCAGGUAUAGUAUGCAUCACACUGAAGUUCUCAUCAGCAAAUUUAGUACCAUAUAUAGAUUCUCCACCAGUCCCAUUUCCUCUGGUGAAAUCUCCACCCUGACACAUGAACUGUGGAAUGAUUCGAUGAAAACCCGACCCCUUGUAAUGUAAUGGCUUCCCUAACUGCCCGAUCCCUUUCUCCCCCGUACACAGAGCUCGAAAGUUCUCAGCAGUUUUAGGAGUCUUAUCUUUAAACAGCUCCAUUACAACUCUCCCAGCUUUGGCAUUGCCAAUCAAUAUAUCAAAGAAAACCUUCGGAUUCUUCGCCAUUGUCACUUCUAAACCUUUAGAUGCAGAAGAAGAAUUUUGCAGGCUUGAAGAGAAAUGGCGUAGGGUUUAUCAGAU